Molecule: non-coding RNA, 1541 nt
Organism: Lolium perenne
Lineage: Eukaryota; Viridiplantae; Streptophyta; Magnoliopsida; Poales; Poaceae
Source: RefSeq, a predicted model, not a curated record
GGCAAAGAUACCAUUAUUCUCUCUUGACUACGUGGCUCCGCUGCAUCUAUUGUCUGCUUCUUUCUAUAUUUGUCUGAUCUAUAUCAAGAGAAUACUUGGUUUCUGUACUACAUGCUGGUCGAUAUCAUUUUCUUAGUUGUCCUCUAAGUAGUGUGUGUCCCAUGUCCUUGAAAUACCUUCUGCUAUUUUCAUGCGUUUUUCUUCCCUUCUGCUGCAUAUUAAGACAAAUGGUAAUGUUGGACUCUGCAGAUUAUCAAGUACAGUAUACUGGAGCAUAUCAACUUCUUAAAUUUAUGUUGCAGCCUAGAAUAUAUCAACAUCAAAAAUAUAUCAGCCAGACUAUAUCAGUUUCUGUACGGGAGAGAUAGGUGGUUCUGGAGGUUGAGCAGGGAGGAGGGAGCUAGAGAAGCGGUGCAGUGACGGAGUUGGAGGAUCAGGGAGGGGCUAUGUUGGCCCGGCUCUGUCCCUCACGAAGAUGAGCACAUCUCCCUCCUCACCCCUUCUGAGCUGAGCUUCUUCUUCCAACUCAUGGCAGGGCUUGGUGGUCUCACAGGGGCAAGGUUUUCCCACCACAUGCUUGGUUCAGACAUCUCGUCAUCCUUGUUGUCUGCGCUCCUCAACUGAAUGUCGGCGUGGACGCCGGCGCAUUCCCGAGGGUGCAUUUGAGCAGCGAUGGUGAUCAUGCCGAUUCAUGCUGGUGAUCUAAUACUAGGUGUUGACAAUGAGGAUUUCACUUUGACAAGCAAGGUGGUGUAGAGUUGGCUGAGCUGUCAAUGGUGACGGGUUUUUAUGAUUAGGAUUUUGGUGCUUGGCUAUUCCUCUGGAGUGACUAAGGAUUGGAGUCUACCUUAGGAUCAGUUUAUCCUAUGGGCCUAUACUACAGUGUUUAUCUGGCGACGGGGAGCUGCUGCUGCCGGAGCAAAAGACGCGUCUUUCCCGAGCUGAAGCCGCCAGCCACCGCUCCUGCUUGCUGCUGCUGCCGAGAAAAAUCGCAGACAUCUUCAGUUAAACAAGAUACUACUACUAUAUAAUGGAAAAGUUAUAUGGCGCAAGCCUAAAUCUUCACAGCACCUCCUUGUAGAUACUACUACUCCAUUAUUUUCGGUGACAUGGGAAGAUAAAUAACUGAUGCAGAAAUUAUAGAACCCUAUGUGAAGAAAAUUAUGGAUGAGAAUCGUGGAUAGAAGUAUGGGUGUGGAGCCAUGGGGUGUUCAAAAGUUUUGCAUGCUCCUGAGUUUGUUAAAAAUCAUCUAAAACUCAAGCACCUUGACUUGGUCUCUGUGUUGACUUCUGGAUUUUGUUGGUGAUAUCACCUGAUCAUGUAUGCUGCUCAGUUGUGCGGUUGUGCCCCUUUGUCUUUGAAUUCAGCUUUGUUGAUUGUUAUUGCUUUUCUUUUUUCAGAAUAUUGAUAUAGUGAUAUUAUUUCCACAUUGGUAAGCUGAAACAUGCCAUUUAUGUUUCUGCCUACCAUAGUUUGUGAAUCAGUCAUUUUGUGGAAUUAAACCUGCUCCAUUCAAUUACGAAACCAUCUACUUAGUACA